AUGGAUGUGGCUCAGUGGUAGAGUGCUUGCCUUGCAUGCGUGUGGCCCUGGGUUCAAUUCCUCAGCACCACA
This 72-nucleotide transfer RNA is filed under the name Dipodomys ordii (Ord's kangaroo rat). It matches the Rfam family "tRNA". From Rfam's summary of the family: Transfer RNA (tRNA) molecules are approximately 80 nucleotides in length. The record is from Rfam by way of RNAcentral. Lineage: Eukaryota; Metazoa; Chordata; Mammalia; Rodentia; Heteromyidae.